CACGUAGGGUGCAAGCGUUAAUCGGAAUUACUGGGCGUAAAGCGUGCGCAGGCGGUGAUGUAAGACAGAUGUGAAAUCCCCGGGCUUAACCUGGGAACUGCAUUUGUGACUGCAAGGCUGGAGUACGGUAGAGGGGGAUGGAAUUCCGCGUGUAGCAGUGAAAUGCGUAGAUAUGCGGAGGAACACCGAUGGCGAAGGCAAUCCCCUGGACCUGUACUGACGCUCAUGCACGAAAGCGUGGGGAGCAAACAGG
Molecule: ribosomal RNA, 253 nt
Filed under: uncultured bacterium
Lineage: Bacteria
Description: partial 16S ribosomal RNA
Rfam family: Bacterial small subunit ribosomal RNA
Source: RNAcentral